Long non-coding RNA from Entelurus aequoreus (snake pipefish), 418 nucleotides. RefSeq lists it as uncharacterized. The transcript is spliced from 3 exons. NCBI's taxonomy places the organism in Eukaryota, Metazoa, Chordata, Actinopteri, Syngnathiformes, Syngnathidae. The record is from RefSeq and is a predicted model, not a curated record.
GUAGAGACGAACACUAAAACAGCGCGGAUACAGUUUACACUAUUAUUUGUGGCACCUCUGAUAAUACACAUUCUGGAUUGAACAACUCAAAAUGUGUAUUGGCCCACCUCAGCAUUCUGCAAUGAGGUGGCGACUUGUCCAGGGUGUACCCUACCUUCCGCCCGUGUGCAGCUGGAAUAGGCUCCAGCACCCCGCCCGCGACCCCGAAGGGACAAGCGGUAGAAAAAUGGAUGGAUGGACUGUAAACAUUCCUUAAGAGUUCUUCGUCUGCGCGUUAUGAGGAUGAUGAGGAGGACAAUGAACGCCAGGAGGAGGAAGGCGGUGAGAACGAAGCCGAGCGGCAUCAGGAAGUGAUGUCUCUGGUCGGGCAGGACCACGUUGAUGACCCGAGGAGGCUCCACUUUGUUCUCCUCAUCUG